AGUGAACGCUGGCGGUAGGCCUAACACAUGCAAGUCGAACGGCAGCACAGUAAGAGCUUGCUCUUACGGGUGGCGAGUGGCGGACGGGUGAGGAAUACAUCGGAAUCUACUUUUUCGUGGGGGAUAACGUAGGGACACUUACGCUAAUACCGCAUACGACCUACGGGUGAAAGCAGGGGAUCUUCGCACCUUGCGCGAUUGAAUGAGCCGAUGUCGGAUUAGCUAGUUGGCGGGGUAAAGGCCCACCAAGGCGACGAUCCGUAGCUGGUCUGAGAGGAUGAUCAGCCACACUGGAACUGAGACACGGUCCAGACUCCUACGGGAGGCAGCAGUGGGGAAUAUUGGACAAUGGGCGCAAGCCUGAUCCAGCCAUACCGCGUGGGUGAAGAAGGCCUUCGGGUUGUAAAGCCCUUUUGUUGGGAAAGAAAAGCAGCAGGUUAAUACCCCGCUGUUCUGACGGUACCCAAAGAAUAAGCACCGGCUAACUUCGUG
RNAcentral lists this ribosomal RNA (492 nucleotides) under uncultured bacterium. RNAcentral describes it as "partial 16S ribosomal RNA". It matches the Rfam family "Bacterial small subunit ribosomal RNA", at positions 29 to 507 of the family's 1533-position model. The record is from RNAcentral.